AGAAAUUUAGGUUAAUUAGACCAAAAGCCUUCAAAGCUUUGAGCAAGAGUGGAAACCUCCUAAUUUCUG
RNAcentral lists this transfer RNA (69 nucleotides) under Zapteryx exasperata (banded guitarfish). RNAcentral describes it as "tRNA-Trp". It matches the Rfam family "tRNA". From Rfam's summary of the family: Transfer RNA (tRNA) molecules are approximately 80 nucleotides in length. Lineage: Eukaryota; Metazoa; Chordata; Chondrichthyes; Rhinopristiformes; Rhinobatidae. The record is from RNAcentral.